GAUGAACGCUGGCGGCGUGCCUAAUACAUGCAAGUCGAGCGAACAGACGAGGAGCUUGCUCCUCUGACGUUAGCGGCGGACGGGUGAGUAACACGUGGAUAACCUACCUAUAAGACUGGGAUAACUUCGGGAAACCGGAGCUAAUACCGGAUAAUAUAUUGAACCGCAUGGUUCAAUAGUGAAAGACGGUUUUGCUGUCACUUAUAGAUGGAUCCGCGCCGCAUUAGCUAGUUGGUAAGGUAACGGGUUACCAAGGCAACGAUGCGUAGCCGACCUGAGAGGGUGAUCGGCCACACUGGAACUUAGACACGGUCCAGACUCCUACGGGAGGCAGCAGUAGGGAAUCUUCCGCAAUGGGCGAAAGCCUGACGGAGCAACGCCGCGUGAGUGAUGAAGGUCUUCGGAUCGUAAAACUCUGUUAUUAGGGAAGAACAAAUGUGUAAGUAACUAUGCACGUCUUGACGGUACCUAAUCAGAAAGCCACGGCUAACUACGUG
Molecule: ribosomal RNA, 497 nt
Filed under: uncultured bacterium
Lineage: Bacteria
Description: partial 16S ribosomal RNA
Rfam family: Bacterial small subunit ribosomal RNA
Source: RNAcentral